UCAAUUUUAUAAUAAAAUUAAAUAGUUCCAGUCUUAAAUAUCUUUCUUAUUUUCUUCGUAGGACGACCACGACGUAAUGCAUUAAUGGAAGUACAAAUGCCAGUGAUUAAGAACGCCGAAUGCAAAAUAGCUUAUUCCAAAUUUCCUAAUGCACCUGAUAUCACUGAUGGUAUAAUAUGCGCCGAACAUGCUCAGGGUGGAGAGGAUUCUUGUACGGUAAUUAAGUUACAGAGUUACUACAAACUAUACGGUAUCUGAAGACACGUCGAUUCGAAUUAACAUCAAAUCGACGUCUUAAACAUUAAAAAUAAUAGAUAAACACAAUUUAAUAGUUUUGCCCACUUCUCACACCUCGUUAUGGUAUUUAAUCUAAUUUCCUUCUAAUCUUAGUUUUGCUCAAAAUACAUAUAACAUGUACGUUAUAAAUUGGAGUAUUUCAAUACACAAAUCAAUAGAAGAUUAUUACUGUAUAUAAGUAUAAUUUCAAUACAAUUCGAUCGAUAUAUUUCAGUAUCUUUGAUUAAAAAUUUAACGAUCCUUUCAGGCUGACCGCGGCGGACCACUGCUGAUACAACAUGAAUUAACCUCGUAUUUAAUAAGUAUUGUGUCUUAUGCUUAUAAGUGCGGCACAGCUGGGUAUCCCAGCGUUUACACUAGGGUCACAUCGUACCUUGACUUCAUUCUCCAAGCGAUGCAAUAAUAUGAUAUUACUGUUCCAUAAAUAUCAUUGUGUAAAAAACGUAAAGUUGGAUUUUCUUAUUGUGGAGAUAAGAAACAGCUCAAAUUUACAUUGUUUUGUACGUUACAAAUUAUAGGCUUAAAAUGUACGAAAUGUAACUUUGAAACGACACUAAUUUUUUACGCACGAUAAACCUCCACGACUUAGAUUAUAGAUUCCUAUACGACUCUCAGUAAAAAUUUAUCCGCACUCCAGAUAGUUAAAACUUCUGUCGACCGUAUUGAUCCAUCUGCACUCUUCGUAUGACGUCAAUAUCUGUUCAGUGCUGCUGCGCAGGUUUCUUUGUGUUACGUCAAUUCGUUUGUGACCGUUGCGCGAGUAAUGGCGCUUUGCAAUGGUGAUUUGCAGGAAAACAGUGCAGGAUGCUGUGAUUCGUUUCUUGUGGUCGGAGGUUAUGUUUGAUGCCUAUAUUUAUCAAAGAUUUAAUGCACAUUAUGGAGAAAGUGUUUUGUCACGAAGUGUGUUUGAAUGGGCACAAAAGUUCAAAGAAGAUCGCACGAGUGUUAUGAAAAAACAGCUGGACGCCCGUCCACAUCCACGAUGACAACAUUGAACGUGCUCAUGAACUUAUGCUCUAUGGAAUAGACGAGUGACACUGGAUAAUGUGGCAAAUCAUUUGCAAAUCAGCCACGGCUCUGCUUAUGCAAUAGUGCAGGACAGAUUUGGAUUUUAAAAAGUUUGUGCGAGAUGGAUGCCGAAAAAGCUGAUGAAAAGGUGAAGACGACGAUGCAUUCGUGGUUCGCAGCUCAGCCCAAAACAUUUUUUAAUGAGAAAAUACAAAGGUCCUUCGGCAAAUGGACAAAGUGUAUACAGAAAUCGAGUGAUUAUGUCAAAAAAUGAUGUAUGUCUUUUUUGACAAUUGCUUAAAAUAAAUUCUACACCGACAGAGCGGGCUGUUAAUCUAGAGGCUGGAGUACAAAGAAGUGGCACAAUGAUGUGGGCUGAUGACAUUUAUAAUUAUCAAGGAAUCACCCCUACAUUCGCUCAGAAUUUUAAUGAAACUGUCCCUUGGGAAGGAAGAACUGAUACCUUGAUAUCACGGUUUGUACAUCCUAUAUAUACGACAAAUUUUAGAACAUUAUAUAACGAAGAACCAGAUCGUCGUGGCCAUGUGAUGUGAAUAAAAGGACUUGAAUUUGAUGAUAUUUUUAUAAUGUUAGAUAACAUAACUAAGUAUCUUCACAGUAAGAUA
This is an RNA transcript of Bombus huntii, 1931 nucleotides long. It is a transcript of the gene named venom serine protease Bi-VSP-like, with no coding region annotated. Lineage: Eukaryota; Metazoa; Arthropoda; Insecta; Hymenoptera; Apidae. The transcript is spliced from 4 exons. The record is from RefSeq and is a predicted model, not a curated record.